UGGCUGUACUGAGAAGAGGUCCUGACUCAGAACUGGAGGACAUCAUGGAAGGCUUCCUGGAGGAAGUGCCAUCUAGGCUGAAACCUAAAGGAUGAGUAGAACUAACCAGAUGAAAAGCCUGAGGGAUCUAAAGCCUUGGGACUUCUGGAUCUGCAAGUGGUCCCUGUUUUGGUAGCUAUUGACUGACCAGGGGCUCUUCGCCCCACAGGUGACUGAUGUAGCCUUGAGUGAGGACCUCGGCCAAAAAGAAGAAGGCUCCUACCGUGGCUCUUUGCUGAUGGUCUUCGCAGAGCCUGCUCUCUUUGAGCUUCCUGAGAGAGGGACACUACCCUCGCUUAGGUGAGUGCUCCAGGUCCAUGGGGCCUGAUGCUCUGUCCCUGGUCUGGCUUCCGCCCGUGUAUACAUUUGCAGUCUUGAUGGUGGCUUAGGAUCUGCUUCCAACAAGUCUGCCAAAUGUGCUCUGUAACACAGGGGGACCCUCCAAAUGUGCAUUGCUUUCUGUCAGUCUCAGGAAACCCAUUCCCUUCCCAGCCUAUCUCAGAAAUGGGGAGUGGUGGCUCAGUGGCCUCUGGCUCUGGCACAGCCCCUUGAUGGGUCCACAGUGGCCCCUCUGCCCUUGGCUCUGUUGGCUUCCCAACAGAUGUUCCUCUUCACAUGUAGUCCUAAGAACUCAAUCAGUUUAAAAA
Molecule: non-coding RNA, 686 nt
Filed under: Pan troglodytes (chimpanzee)
Lineage: Eukaryota; Metazoa; Chordata; Mammalia; Primates; Hominidae
Source: RNAcentral